Molecule: ribosomal RNA, 800 nt
Filed under: Salinicola sp. CPA-19
Lineage: Bacteria; Pseudomonadati; Pseudomonadota; Gammaproteobacteria; Oceanospirillales; Halomonadaceae
Description: bacterial SSU rRNA
Rfam family: Bacterial small subunit ribosomal RNA
Source: RNAcentral
UGCAAGUCGAGCGGCAGCACGGGGAGCUUGCUCCCUGGUGGCGAGCGGCGGACGGGUGAGUAAUGCAUAGGAAUCUGCCCGGUAGUGGGGGAUAACCUGGGGAAACCCAGGCUAAUACCGCAUACGUCCUACGGGAGAAAGCAGGGGAUCUUCGGACCUUGCGCUAUCGGAUGAGCCUAUGUCGGAUUAGCUGGUUGGUGAGGUAAUGGCUCACCAAGGCGACGAUCCGUAGCUGGUCUGAGAGGAUGAUCAGCCACACUGGGACUGAGACACGGCCCAGACUCCUACGGGAGGCAGCAGUGGGGAAUAUUGGACAAUGGGCGCAAGCCUGAUCCAGCCAUGCCGCGUGUGUGAAGAAGGCCCUCGGGUUGUAAAGCACUUUCAGCGAGGAAGAAGGCUUGGCGGUCAAUACCCGUCAAGAAGGACAUCACUCGCAGAAGAAGCACCGGCUAACUCCGUGCCAGCAGCCGCGGUAAUACGGAGGGUGCGAGCGUUAAUCGGAAUUACUGGGCGUAAAGCGCGCGUAGGUGGUUUGGCACGCCGGUUGUGAAAGCCCCGGGCUCAACCUGGGAACGGCAUCCGGAACGGCCAGACUAGAGUGCAGGAGAGGAAGGUAGAAUUCCCGGUGUAGCGGUGAAAUGCGUAGAGAUCGGGAGGAAUACCAGUGGCGAAGGCGGCCUUCUGGCCUGACACUGACACUGAGGUGCGAAAGCGUGGGUAGCAAACAGGAUUAGAUACCCUGGUAGUCCACGCCGUAAACGAUGUCGACUAGCCGUUGGGACCUUUUAAGGACUUAAUGG